AGGGAUCCUUCACUGUCUGGACUAAAAACAUCAUAUACAUUGAUCAUAUAAUACGAAUAAUUUUUAAUUAUUUAUUUGAAAGAUUACGUAAGCAAUAAAGGGAAAAUUGGGUCAAAACAGGGACAUACGUGAGUUGGGUACUGAAUAUCUUGUUUUUGGCCACAACUGUACCGACAUAUGAGGGUGACAAAGCAUUCACACGAAUGCAAGUUGAAUAAUAAGCAAAGGUAAUUAGUCUAUGGACCAAGGAUCGAGGAAGACUGAGAAUGAAGGUUACUCAAGAUAAUAUUGUAUCACAUGAAUUGGGUCGGAUAUAAUUUCUUGUUACUCCACCAAUUUCUAUUAUUACCUCUUCCUACAAUGUUUAAGCCAUUCCCUUUAGCAAGAGCUGGAAAUGCAACCAACAGAGAAAAUAUUAUUUUUCCUAUCAAAGGACUUCCUUACAAGGUUCUCGUUUGCCUUGAACGAUCGAGAACAAAUACGUCGGGAUAGCAUCAAUGGAUAUUUUCUACGAUUUCCUCCAAAAAUAUUUCCGUACCUAGCCCAAAGGGGCCGAGCAUCCGAUGUUAUAACACGAUGCCUAAAACUGGGAUCAAAUUGGGAAAAUAAGUGAUAUAAAUAGACGCAAAGGUGUAUUAAUACAUACUGGAGAAAAUGGUGACCUUGAGACAGGCAGACUGACAAAGCUUUUGAUCAAAGAUAGAUUGAGGGCAAGUUAAUUAUAAGCAGUUGGUAAUUUAAAUGGUUAAUUAUAUCCUAAGGGCUUGAUUUAAAUUUAUAAGACUGAUACUAAUAAGAUUUUGUAAUUAGUGGGUUAGAUUCUGUUCUCGCUAUUAAAGUUUUGUUAACUUACGAUUUAGCCUUUAAGUUAGGCAUUACAAUUUUGUUUAAGUUUAUACUAAUUCUGGGUUAGUCUGUAAACUUGGUACAACAUAUUAAACUUACAGGACGGGCAUGUAGAAAGCCACUGACAAAACUCUCUGCGACGGUAAAUACCUUAUGAUUUUAAACAGACUUCAAAGAGAUGUUUAAUCAUGCUUCCAAAUAUCCCUCUUGUAUAUACCCUAUCAUCAAGAGGCAGAACCAUGGCAAGAUUUGCCCUCGUCCAGCUAGCAUUAGCGUCGGACAGCAGACUUGGGGAAGUCUGCUGAACAAGA
Molecule: long non-coding RNA, 1157 nt
Organism: Trichoplusia ni (cabbage looper)
Lineage: Eukaryota; Metazoa; Arthropoda; Insecta; Lepidoptera; Noctuidae
Exons: 3
Source: RefSeq, a predicted model, not a curated record